AUGUCAAGUCAGCAUGGUCCUUACACAUCGGGCUACAAACGUGCUACAAUGGCGCUUACAGAAAGUCGCGACACCGCAAGGUGGAGCCAAUCUCCAAAAAGCGUCUCAGUUCGGAUUGUCCUCCGCAACUCGGGGGCAUGAAGUCGGAAUUACUAGUAAUCGUAUAUCAGCAUGAUACGGUGAAUGCGUUCUCGGGUCUU
RNAcentral lists this ribosomal RNA (200 nucleotides) under uncultured prokaryote. RNAcentral describes it as "partial 16S ribosomal RNA". It matches the Rfam family "Bacterial small subunit ribosomal RNA", at positions 1182 to 1382 of the family's 1533-position model. The record is from RNAcentral.